Alosa alosa (allis shad) is the source of this 343-nucleotide long non-coding RNA. RefSeq lists it as uncharacterized. Lineage: Eukaryota; Metazoa; Chordata; Actinopteri; Clupeiformes; Clupeidae. The transcript is spliced from 2 exons. The record is from RefSeq and is a predicted model, not a curated record.
CCUUUCUCCAUUCCCCAGCUGAUCCUCUGGGCCAUCUGUAAAGGGAUUACAGCUCUGUCAUGAGCCAAACCACACACACACACACACACACACACACCAACUGACAUGUGUGUCCUCCCUUAUGAAGAGGUAAAUGAAAGAGGAGAUGAGCUGACUGCCAUUAGUGGAUCCUUCUGGAAAUAAAGAGCGAGGUGGAGGAGGAGGAGAGGAGGAGAGGAGGUGCGUGUGAUAGUGGUGAUGGAUAUUAGGAGGAGAGCAGGGAAAUAAAGAGCGAGGUGGAGGUGGAGGAGGAGGAGAGGAGGUGCGUGUGAUAGUGGUGAUGGAUAUUAGGAGGAGAGCAGGG